UACGGAGGGGGCUAGCGUUGUUCGGAAUUACUGGGCGUAAAGCGCACGUAGGCGGCUUUGCAAGUCAGAGGUGAAAGCCCGGGGCUCAACCCCGGAACUGCCUUUAAGACUGCAUCGCUUGAAUCCAGGAGAGGUGAGUGGAAUUCCGAGUGUAGAGGUGAAAUUCGUAGAUAUUCGGAAGAACACCAGUGGCGAAGGCGGCUCACUGAGCUGGUAUUGACGCUGAGGCACGAAGGCCAGGGGAGCAAACGGG
Molecule: ribosomal RNA, 253 nt
Filed under: uncultured bacterium
Lineage: Bacteria
Description: partial 16S ribosomal RNA
Rfam family: Bacterial small subunit ribosomal RNA
Source: RNAcentral